This 298-nucleotide unclassified non-coding RNA is filed under the name plant metagenome. Its description in RNAcentral is "partial contains 5.8S ribosomal RNA, internal transcribed spacer 2, and large subunit ribosomal RNA". The stretch from base 1 to 105 matches the Rfam family "5.8S ribosomal RNA", at positions 50 to 154 of the family's 154-position model. The record is from RNAcentral.
GAAAUGCGAUAAGUAAUGUGAAUUGCAGAAUUCAGUGAAUCAUCGAAUCUUUGAACGCACAUUGCGCCCCCAGGUAUUCCGGGGGGCAUGCCUGUUCGAGCGUCAUUUCACCACUCAAGCCUCGCUUGGUAUUGGGCAACGCGGUCCGCCGCGUGCCUCAAAUCGACCGGCUGGGUCUUCUGUCCCCUAAGCGUUGUGGAAACUAUUCGCUAAAGGGUGUUCGGGAGGCUACGCCGUAAAACAACCCCAUUUCUAAGGUUGACCUCGGAUCAGGUAGGGAUACCCGCUGAACUUAAGC